RNAcentral lists this small nuclear RNA (97 nucleotides) under Ochotona princeps (American pika). Lineage: Eukaryota; Metazoa; Chordata; Mammalia; Lagomorpha; Ochotonidae. The record is from RNAcentral.
GUGCUCGCUUUGGCAGCACGUAUACUAAAAUUGGAAUGAUACAGAGAAGAUUAGCAUAGCCGCUGCACAAGAAAUGCUAGAGCAUGAGAACCUGUGG